GUGGGGAAUCUUCCGCAAUGGACGAAAGUCUGACGGAGCGACGCCGCGUGAGUGAAGAAGGCCUUCGGGUCGUAAAGCUCUGUUAAUCGGGACGAAAGAGCCUAGUGUGAAUAAUGCUAGGAAGUGACGGUACCGGAAUAGAAAGCCACGGCUAACUACGUGCCAGCAGCCGCGGUAAUACGUAGGUGGCAAGCGUUGUCCGGAAUUAUUGGUCGUAAAGCGCGCGCAGGCGGAUCUGCCAGUCUGUCUUAAAAGUUCGGGGCUUAACCCCGUGAUGGGAUGGAAACUACAGAGCUAGAGUAUCGGAGAGGAAAGUGGAAUUCCUAGUGUAGCGGUGAAAUGCGUAGAUAUUAGGAAGAACACCAGUGGCGAAGGCGACUUUCUGGACGAAAACUGACGCUGAGGCGCGAAAGCCAGGGGAGCGAACGGGAUUAGAUACCCCAGUAGUCC
This 450-nucleotide ribosomal RNA is filed under the name uncultured bacterium. RNAcentral describes it as "partial 16S ribosomal RNA". It matches the Rfam family "Bacterial small subunit ribosomal RNA", at positions 354 to 796 of the family's 1533-position model. The record is from RNAcentral.